GCUGGAAUGCAUCUAGAUUGAAAGCUCCGGCGCCUAAGGAUGGGUCUGCGGACUAUCAGGUUGUAGUCAGGGUAAAGACCUGACUAGCCUACGACGGAUACGGGUUGUGAGAGCAAUAACCCGGAGAUGAUACCUGAGACACGAUAUCAGGCCCUACGGGGCGCAGCAGGCGCGAAAACUUCACACUGUGCGAAAGCGCGAUGAGGGAAUCCCAAGUGCUUGCACGUAAGUGUAAGCUGUUUUUAUGUUUAAAAUGCAUAGAGAGUAAGAGCUGGGUAAGACGGGUGCCAGCCGCCGCGGUAAUACCUGCAGCUCAAGUGGUGAUCGUUAUUAUUGGGCCUAAAACGUUCGUAGCCGGUUUAGUAAAUGCCUGGGUAAAUCGUGUAGCUUAACUAUACGGAUUCCGGGUAGACUGCUAAACUUGAGACCGGGAGAGGCUAGAGGUACUCCUGGGGUAGAGGUGAAAUUCUGUAAUCCUAGGGGGACCACCAGUGGCGAAGGCGUCUAGCUAGAACGGGUCUGACGGUGAGGGACGAAGCCCUGGGGCGCAAACCGGAUUAGAUACCCGGGUAGUCCAGGGUGUAAACGCUGCUUGCUUGAUGUUAGUCGGGCUCCGAGCCCGAUUAGUGUCGGAGAGAAGUUGUUAAGCAAGCUGCCUGGGAAGUACGGUCGCAAGGCUGAAACUUAAAGGAAUUGGCGGGGGAGCACAGCAACGGGUGGAGCGUGCGGUUUAAUUGGACUCAACGCCGGUAA
This 753-nucleotide ribosomal RNA is filed under the name uncultured archaeon. RNAcentral describes it as "bacterial SSU rRNA". It matches the Rfam family "Archaeal small subunit ribosomal RNA", at positions 169 to 924 of the family's 1478-position model. The record is from RNAcentral.